AAACUAACUACCCCUGGUAAUUGGCAGGUGUACGUUCGUGUUCAUAUAGAAUAGAGAUGAGUGUGUGAGCUUUGUGAGCGCAUAUAUUUGUAGUGCUGUGUUUUAACAAAAUAUCCACAUCCUUCUACUUCAAUAUAACCAAUCUAUAGAGGACCAUUUUGUAAUUACCACAACACCCAGAAGUCUAAACAGAUAGAGUACUGGAGGAGUAGUACUACUGCAAAUCCCCACCCCAAAAAAAUAAAAAAAAAAUCUGCUCUUAACAACUCCCUAUAAAGCUACCACUACGCCCCCCUACCGCGGAGAAGCAACCAAUCCAAUUCCGAACAAGCAAGGCACCAAAUCCCCCCACCAUGGAUCACCGCCUCCUCCUCCUCGGCCUCCUCCUCCUCUCCCCGGCGGUGGCCGCCGCCUCAGUCCCCGGCGAGGAGGAGCCGCUGAUCCGGCAGGUGGUCGGCGGCGGCGACGACAACGAGCUGGAGCUGAACGCGGAGCGCCACUUCGCCAGCUUCGUCCAGAGGUUCGGGAAGUCCUACCGUGACGCCGACGAGCACGCGUACCGGCUCUCCGUGUUCAAGGCCAACCUCCGCCGCGCGCGCCGCCACCAGCUGCUCGACCCCUCCGCGGAGCACGGCGUCACCAAGUUCUCCGACCUCACCCCGGCCGAGUUCCGCCGGGCCUACCUCGGCCUCCGCACGUCGCGCC
This 705-nucleotide long non-coding RNA is filed under the name Oryza sativa (Asian cultivated rice). Its description in RNAcentral is "long non-coding RNA (OSAT_LNC000354)". The record is from RNAcentral. Lineage: Eukaryota; Viridiplantae; Streptophyta; Magnoliopsida; Poales; Poaceae.